GGGGCCAUAGCUCAGCUGGGAGAGCGCCUGCUUUGCAAGCAGGAUGUCGUCGGUUCGAUCCCGUCUGGCUCCACCA
This 76-nucleotide transfer RNA is filed under the name Escherichia coli. RNAcentral's name for it is "tRNA-Ala". It matches the Rfam family "tRNA". Rfam says of the family: Transfer RNA (tRNA) molecules are approximately 80 nucleotides in length. Their secondary structure includes four short double-helical elements and three loops (D, anti-codon, and T loops). RNAcentral also lists the same sequence under 65 other names. Lineage: Bacteria; Pseudomonadati; Pseudomonadota; Gammaproteobacteria; Enterobacterales; Enterobacteriaceae. The record is from RNAcentral.